AUACGUAGGGGGCGAGCGUUGUCCGGAAUUACUGGGCGUAAAGGGCGCGUAGGCGGCCCAAUAAGUCUCCGGUGAAAUCUCCCGGCUUAACUGGGAGCGGUCCGGGGAAACUAUUGGGCUUGAGGACAGCAGAGGAGAGUGGAAUUCCCGGUGUAGUGGUGAAAUGCGUAGAUAUCGGGAGGAACACCAGUGGCGAAGGCGGCUCUCUGGGCUGUACCUGACGCUGAGGCGCGAAAGCGUGGGGAGCAAACCGGAUUAGAAACCCCAGUAGUCC
Molecule: ribosomal RNA, 274 nt
Filed under: uncultured bacterium
Lineage: Bacteria
Description: partial 16S ribosomal RNA
Rfam family: Bacterial small subunit ribosomal RNA
Source: RNAcentral